This is a non-coding RNA of Cyanistes caeruleus (blue tit), 412 nucleotides long. The record is from RefSeq and is a predicted model, not a curated record. NCBI's taxonomy places the organism in Eukaryota, Metazoa, Chordata, Aves, Passeriformes, Paridae.
GUGAGGGAGACCUGAGAGGGGCUGCAGGGUCUCGGCUGAGGCCCAGAUGCAGGGGGCAUGACAAAGACUUAAAAUAAAGUCUCUGUACGGGAGAACAGAAGAAUUUCCAUCCACUACAGUUAAUUAUCCUUUAUGGCUAAAAAUGGUGCGAUAAGGAAGCGCUUUAUUUUCCCCAAAUACAUAGUUCAGGGAGGUGGUGUGAAAUGUGAGAAACGGUUAGUUGUCGUUUUUAUGUUCCAUGUCUCAUGAAGAUUCAGCUUAGUGAGAUUCACUCUACUGAACAUGAUGUUGCAACAAGACACUCUGAGCUUCGGCUUCCACUGUUCUUGAAGUGGUCUGUGAAGGCAAAGGUGAUGACUGAAGGGACUAAGUUUUGCAAGUGACUUGUGUCUAUUUGGUGUGCAAGCCUACU